CCUGAUCCCAUUCCGAACUCAGAAGUGAAACGAAAUAGCGCCGAUGGUAGUGUGGGGUUUCCCCAUGUGAGAGUAGGACAUCGCCAGGCU
This 90-nucleotide ribosomal RNA is filed under the name Vibrio parahaemolyticus VP2007-007. Lineage: Bacteria; Pseudomonadati; Pseudomonadota; Gammaproteobacteria; Vibrionales; Vibrionaceae. The record is from RNAcentral.